This 442-nucleotide ribosomal RNA is filed under the name uncultured bacterium. Its description in RNAcentral is "partial 16S ribosomal RNA". It matches the Rfam family "Bacterial small subunit ribosomal RNA", at positions 338 to 795 of the family's 1533-position model. The record is from RNAcentral.
CCUACGGGAGGCAGCAGUGGGGAAUAUUGGACAAUGGGGGGAACCCUGAUCCAGCGACGCCGCGUGAGUGAAGAAGUAUUUCGGUAUGUAAAGCUCUAUCAGCAGGGAAGAAAGAAAUGACGGUACCUGACUAAGAAGCCCCGGCUAACUACGUGCCAGCAGCCGCGGUAAUACGUAGGGGCAAGCGUUAUCCGGAUUUACUGGGUGUAAAGGGAGCGUAGACGGCGAUGCAAGUCUGAAGUGAAAGGCGGGGGACCAACCCCCGGACUGCUUUGGAAACUGUAUGGAGGGAGUGCAGGAGAGGUAAGUGGAAUGCCUAGUGUAGCGGUGAAAUGCGUAGAUAUUAGGAGGAACACCAGUGGCGAAGGCGGCUUACUGGACUGUAACUGACGUUGAGGCUCGAAAGCGUGGGGAGCAAACAGGAUUAGAUACCCCGGUAGUC